AUUGAACGCUGGCGGCAUGCCUUACACAUGCAAGUCGAACGGCAGCACGGGUGCUUGCACCUGGUGGCGAGUGGCGAACGGGUGAGUAAUACAUCGGAACAUGUCCUGUAGCGGGGGAUAGCCCGGCGAAAGCCGGAUUAAUACCGCAUACGAUCUACGGAUGACAGCGGGGGACCUUCGGGCCUCGCGCUAUAGGGUUGGCCGAUGGCUGAUUAGCUAGUUGGUGGGGUAAAGGCCUACCAAGGCGACGAUCAGUAGCUGAUCUGAGAGGACGACCAGCCACACUGGGAGGGAGACACGGCCCAGACUCCUACGGGAGGCAGCAGUGGGGAAUUUUGGACAAAGGGCGAAAGCCUGAUCCAGCAAUGCCGCGUGUGUGAAGAAGGCCUUCGGGUUGUAAAGCACUUUUGUCCGGAAAGAAAUCCUUUGCUCUAAUACAGUCGGGGGAUGACGGUACCGGAAGAAUAAGCACCGGCUAACUACGUG
This 486-nucleotide ribosomal RNA is filed under the name uncultured bacterium. RNAcentral describes it as "partial 16S ribosomal RNA". It matches the Rfam family "Bacterial small subunit ribosomal RNA", at positions 30 to 507 of the family's 1533-position model. The record is from RNAcentral.